RNAcentral lists this ribosomal RNA (554 nucleotides) under Alternaria alternata. RNAcentral describes it as "eukaryotic LSU rRNA". The stretch from base 200 to 353 matches the Rfam family "5.8S ribosomal RNA". The record is from RNAcentral. Lineage: Eukaryota; Fungi; Ascomycota; Dothideomycetes; Pleosporales; Pleosporaceae.
UAAGGUCUCGUAGUGACCUGCGGAGGGAUCAUUACACAAAUAUGAAGGCGGGCUGGAACCUCUCGGGGUUACAGCCUUGCUGAAUUAUUCACCCUUGUCUUUUGCGUACUUCUUGUUUCCUUGGUGGGUUCGCCCACCACUAGGACAAACAUAAACCUUUUGUAAUUGCAAUCAGCGUCAGUAACAAAUUAAUAAUUACAACUUUCAACAACGGAUCUCUUGGUUCUGGCAUCGAUGAAGAACGCAGCGAAAUGCGAUAAGUAGUGUGAAUUGCAGAAUUCAGUGAAUCAUCGAAUCUUUGAACGCACAUUGCGCCCUUUGGUAUUCCAAAGGGCAUGCCUGUUCGAGCGUCAUUUGUACCCUCAAGCUUUGCUUGGUGUUGGGCGUCUUGUCUCUAGCUUUGCUGGAGACUCGCCUUAAAGUAAUUGGCAGCCGGCCUACUGGUUUCGGAGCGCAGCACAAGUCGCACUCUCUAUCAGCAAAGGUCUAGCAUCCAUUAAGCCUUUUUUUCAACUUUUGACCUCGGAUCAGGUAGGGAUACCCGCUGAACUUAA